GGUCAAGUGAAGAAGCGCAUACGGUGGAUGCCUUGGCAGUCAGAGGCGAUGAAAGACGUGGUAGCCUGCGAAAAGCUUCGGGGAGUCGGCAAACAGACUUUGAUCCGGAGAUCUCUGAAUGGGGGAACCCACCUAGGAUAACCUAGGUAUCUUGUACUGAAUCCAUAGGUGCAAGAGGCGAACCAGGGGAACUGAAACAUCUAAGUACCCUGAGGAAAAGAAAUCAACCGAGAUUCCCUUAGUAGUGGCGAGCGAACGGGGAUUAGCCCUUAAGCUUCAUUGAUUUUAGCGGAACGCUCUGGAAAGUGCGGCCAUAGUGGGUGAUAGCCCCGUACGCGAAAGGAUCUUUGAAGUGAAAUCGAGUAGGACGGAGCACGAGAAACUUUGUCUGAACAUGGGGGGACCAUCCUCCAAGGCUAAAUACUACUGACUGACCGAUAGUGAACCAGUACCGUGAGGGAAAGGCGAAAAGAACCCCGGAGAGGGGAGUGAAAUAGAACCUGAAACCGUAUGCGUACAAGCAGUGGGAGCCUACUUGUUAGGUGACUGCGUACCUUUUGUAUAAUGGGUCAGCGACUUAUAUUCAGUGGCAAGCUUAACCGUAUAGGGUAGGCGUAGCGAAAGCGAGUCUUAAUAGGGCGUUUAGUCGCUGGGUAUAGACCCGAAACCGGGCGAUCUAUCCAUGAGCAGGUUGAAGGUUAGGUAACACUGACUGGAGGACCGAACCCACUCCCGUUGAAAAGGUAGGGGAUGACUUGUGGAUCGGAGUGAAAGGCUAAUCAAGCUCGGAGAUAGCUGGUUCUCCUCGAAAGCUAUUUAGGUAGCGCCUCAUGUAUCACUCUGGGGGGUAGAGCACUGUUUCGGCUAG
This 868-nucleotide ribosomal RNA is filed under the name Pseudomonas aeruginosa. Its description in RNAcentral is "partial 23S ribosomal RNA". It matches the Rfam family "Bacterial large subunit ribosomal RNA", at positions 1 to 922 of the family's 2925-position model. The record is from RNAcentral. Lineage: Bacteria; Pseudomonadati; Pseudomonadota; Gammaproteobacteria; Pseudomonadales; Pseudomonadaceae.